This 247-nucleotide ribosomal RNA is filed under the name uncultured bacterium. RNAcentral describes it as "partial 16S ribosomal RNA". It matches the Rfam family "Bacterial small subunit ribosomal RNA", at positions 524 to 778 of the family's 1533-position model. The record is from RNAcentral.
UACGUAGGUGGCAAGCGUUGUCCGGAAUUAUUGGGCGUAAAGCGCGCGCAGGCGGUCCUUUAAGUCUGAUGUGAAGCCACGGCUCAACCGUGGAGGUCAUUGGAACUGGGACUUGAGUACAGAAGAGAAGAGUGGAAUUCCACGUGUAGCGGUGAAUGCGUAGAGAUGUGAGACACAGUGCGAGCGACUCUUUUUUGUCUGUAACUGACGCUGAGCGCGAAAAAAGCGUGGGGGGAGCAAAAAACAG